Molecule: non-coding RNA, 531 nt
Organism: Podarcis muralis (Common wall lizard)
Lineage: Eukaryota; Metazoa; Chordata; Lepidosauria; Squamata; Lacertidae
Source: RefSeq, a predicted model, not a curated record
UCGAAAUGAUGAAUGGGGAGCAGCCCCGCCCUUUGCACCCGCCCAGAGAGGUUUUAUGGAGUGUGCGCAGUGCGCUGCUAGAGUCUUGCUUUGCAGAGAGACGAGAAAAGAGGAGUGAGCUCGGGGUGCUCGGCUUGCCAAGGGUUAAAAGCAACGGGGCUGGAUUCCUAGAGAGGAGAGGAGAUGAAAGAGGGGAGAAGUCCUCCAGUGCAAAAGCCCCUCCCUCCCCAGUGCCUCCCUGCGAGGGAAGGCGGGGCAUAUUUUGACAGCCCCUUCUGCCUGGGUGGCGCCUCCUGGGACCUGAAUUUGGUAUCACUUCUGAUUUGGACAGACAGAACUUGGCAGAAGACCAAAGGAUUCCUUCUGAUCUCUUGGAGGCUUCUUGAGAGCCCAGAUGGAUGAGCAAGACUCAGCUGGCCCUGAAGCAGGAAGGGGCCAUGUCAUCAACACUGGGAGCAGUGAGGGAUUCUGGGAAAGCUCUGUGCAGAAGAUCCUGGGUGAGGAGGACACCCUCCGCUCAGAUGUGCAGAG